ACCUGUGCCGUAUACCGAGACAUUGUUGUUUGGUGGCGCGCCAUGAGCUUUUCAAACGAUGUGGCUUGGCUCAUGAGCUGCGAAACACCGAGCAGCAGAACCGCACCAGCGCAACACAAGAGAAGGCUCAAAGCGCUUCGAGUAAUGUCAGCAGACUAUUUCAGUAGCUGAUGCAGCGAUUGGCAUCCCGCCUACACCGUGCCCCCGUGGUGGAAAUGCUAGCCAGCUGAACUCUGAAAGGAAGCCACACGGCGGUGAGAUCGCGGCUGUGCGGAACCACGAGGAUACGAAAGCAGUGAAAAAGGAUCCGCUACAAAAAUGUAUGAAUGUGUGAGAUGGGAAGCGUGUGACUCCUUGCGGCACACUUGCGGUCCCUUUCCAUUUCGGUCUUCGUUCCAUCAAAAAAAAAAAAAUGCUCGCCGGAACUUUUAGUCAUCCUUCAUAUCACCUCAAGGAAGCAAGACUUUCAGCAGUAACGGAUAAAUGAGGCCUUUUGUUAUGCGGCGCGAAGCCUCUUCCUCCUCCGCCGCAUUUUUCCUUACAACCCGUUUGCAAGCAUUCCCACAGAGCGACGUAUUUACCCGAGAAUCGCGCACGUCUUUAACCCGCCUUGGCCCUGUGUGUACAAGAGGGAUUGUCGUCAUCAGCGGAGGCAAAGAGAAGAAGAAGGUGGCGAUGGAGAGCGAGAGUAAGAAACAGAGAGCCUGUGUGCGAGUGGAACAAAAUAGACGAAAAAAAAAAA
This is a long non-coding RNA of Hippocampus comes (tiger tail seahorse), 742 nucleotides long. RefSeq lists it as uncharacterized. NCBI's taxonomy places the organism in Eukaryota, Metazoa, Chordata, Actinopteri, Syngnathiformes, Syngnathidae. The transcript is spliced from 2 exons. The record is from RefSeq and is a predicted model, not a curated record.